GAGUAUGGAGUUCUCUGGAACUGUUCCUCCCCAGCGUGGGCAACUGGUCAGCUUGGAGAAUAUGGAGUUGCCUUCAACACUUGCUAAUCUAACCAAAUUAACAGAAUUUCGGAUUAGCAGCAACAAUUUCACUGGAAAAAUACCCAAUUUUAUUCAUGGUUGGAAGCAACUUCAGAAAUUAGACCUCAGCUUCAACAAACUAGAAGGAAUUGUUCCAAACCUAGAAGUUUUAACAAAAAUGGAGCUUAUGUAAGCAAGUUAAAAUCGAGAAAACCUGCCUAUUUUUGGCACAUAGGAAACCAGCUUGUAGAUCAAUGGGCUAAAAUAUAUGCAUGAUUGGUCCAUUCUUGGUAGUUUACCUGAACUAUGACUAAACUCGCAUGCCCAAGAAUGUAAGUUUGCCAAGAAGGUUAAGAGUUUUGAAUGGGAUAAGAAAUUGGGCUGUGUACAAGGACGACGUCUUAUGUAUUUCACCUAUGGUUUAUGGUUUACCCUCAACAAAAUUCAAACUACAAUUUUCUUCAAUAUGAUUCUACAUAACAUUUUGAGAUAGUAACAGCUUGCAUGUCUUAAUAAUUUUGAGACUUAUGUCAUUUUCUGUUUAGGUAUUUGGCAACGAACUUGCUUACUUGGCCUA
Long non-coding RNA from Vitis riparia (riverbank grape), 637 nucleotides. RefSeq lists it as uncharacterized. The transcript has 4 exons. NCBI's taxonomy places the organism in Eukaryota, Viridiplantae, Streptophyta, Magnoliopsida, Vitales, Vitaceae. The record is from RefSeq and is a predicted model, not a curated record.